GAUGAACGCUGGCGGCGUGCCUAAUACAUGCAAGUCGAGCGAACGGACGAGAAGCUUGCUCCUCUGACGUUAGCGGCGGUCGGGUGAGUAACACGUGGAUAACCUACCUAUAAGACUGGGAUAACUUCGGGAAACCGGAGCUAAUACCGGAUGAUAUUUUGAACCGCAUGGUUCAAAAGUGAAAGACGGUCUUGCUGUCACUUAUAGAUGGAUCCGCGCUGCAUUAGCUAGUUGGUAAGGUAACGGCUUACCAAGGCAACGAUGCAUAGCCGACCUGAGAGGGUGAUCGGCCACACUGGAACUGAGACACGGUCCAGACUCCUACGGGAGGCAGCAGUAGGGAAUCUUCCGCAAUGGGCGAAAGCCUGACGGAGCAACGCCGCGUGAGUGAUGAAGGUCUUCGGAUCGUAAAACUCUGUUAUUAGGGAAGAACAUAUGUGUAAGUAACUAUGCACAUCUUGACGGUACCUAAUCAGAAAGCCACGGCUAACUACGUG
RNAcentral lists this ribosomal RNA (497 nucleotides) under uncultured bacterium. RNAcentral's name for it is "partial 16S ribosomal RNA". It matches the Rfam family "Bacterial small subunit ribosomal RNA", at positions 28 to 507 of the family's 1533-position model. The record is from RNAcentral.